UUCUCAUUCGCUCCUCGUGCUCCACGAAACAACUGGAGAUCUCAUGGCGACGACGAGUUUCUCACCGUGCGCCGCCGUCCCACCGCCCUCUUCUCUCUUUCCUUGCAAUCUUCCCUUGGCGCCUCGAACUCCUGCUCGGUCGAUUCGGAGCGAUCGCUCAUAUAGAGAAAGAGAGUUUGCAGCCGUGGUUCUUCAGCCGGAUCCGCCCGUCGUGAUGGAUUUUGUCGCGAAUUAGUGCGGAACCUGCCCCUUGUUUACCCUCCAUCAUGGAAGGGGCUUAUCAGCAAUAACAGAGAGGGCAUUUUCAGGAAUGAAGCCUUUCAAGACCCAACUUAGCAACAAAAUUGAGCAAGAAUAUCUUAACAAUGUCAUGAUUUGUAUAUUGAGAGAGAUUGCUCGUGAUAUUGAUUUGGAAUAUAUAAUUGAUAGGUUUUAUCUUUUGAAGAACCGCAGAUUGCACCUGAAGCAUGUAUAAUUUUGUUGAUGUAACUUGCGAAUACUACUUUGUUUAUGUUUGUUUUGCUCAUAUUAUUUUGAAAUGAAGGUUUUAGAUUUUCCAUAUUUUUGGUUCUUUAUAAUGUAUACAUGAAGUCCCCCAAGAAAAAAAAACCCUAGAUAUGCCCCUAUCCGUGCCACCCAGUUGAAUUUAGUUUGAACCUAAUCCAAUUUUAAUUUAGUGUCCUCACAUCAUGUUCUAAGAUUUAAUUUAUCCAUUUAUUAUUAUAUAUUUUAUUUUUAAUAUUUAAUAUUGCAAGUAGCGAUAUUUCCUCGUAAAAGUAGUACCAAUGGAUAGCUUAGGUCUAGGGCUUUCCAAAUAUGUGAUCAAUAUCAAUUUUCCAACGACAAAUAGUAGUGAAUCAGUCAAUUAAAGUAGUCAUGAGGGCUUUUCAAAUAUAUAGUAUUAUUUUUUUAAAAAGAAAAUCCAGGAGGUGGUCGCACCCUCUCGUCCCCACGUGGCUACGCCACUGUACGUGCGUAGGGAGAAAAGGGAGAAAAAAAGAAAGAAAAGGUAUAUUUAAAAAUACCCUAAUUCAUUUUAAACUAAUUGAAUCUGUUUAAACCUUAAACUUGGUUCAACCAUAGCUUGACCAAAUCAACUUCAAAUCAAUCCAGGUUUAAACCAACAUAAGUAAUUCUUAUCUCCACACAUACCCGUUGGUUUAGUUCAAACCCGAUCCAAUUUUAAUUUAAUGUUCUCAUUUCAUGUUUUACAAUUCAGUCCAUUCAUUUAUUAUUAUAUAUUUUAUUUUUAAAAUUCAAUACUUAACAUUCCAAGUCACGAUAUUUCCUCGUAAAAGUGGUACCAAUGGAUAGCUUAGGCCGAGGGCUUUUCAAAUAUGUGAUUAAUUUUAGUUUUUCGACGACGAACGGUGGUGAAUCAGCCGAUGGUGGUGAGGUAUAGUAACAUUUUUAAAAAAGAACUUAGAGGGGUGGUCGCACCACUCGUCCCCACUUAGCUAUGCCCUAAUACAGAGGGAGUAUAUUGUUUGACCCAUUGUAUAAAAAAAGGACAGCCCGGUGUACGAAGCUCCCGUCAUGCGAGGUCCCGGGGAAGGAUCCAUUGUACGCAGUUUACCCUGUUUUUUGCAAGAGGAUGUUUGACCCAUUGUAUGCUGUCAUUAAAUAUUAAUAAAUGUUUGUAUUGUUUUUAAUAACUAACAUACUUAUGAUAUAUAUUUAUCAGCAUAUCUAAUUUAUACUUCAUACUUCAAUGUAUAAAAUAAAAUAUGUCAAUCAUAUAACUCAAAGUACAUGAAAUAUACUAAUAACUGUCAAUCAAUAAUAUAAAAUUGAUGACAAAAAUGUAUGCAUAUAAGUAAUAUCUGGAGUGAUCAUCACUUUCAAAAUAAUUAUUACAUCAACACUUAUAUGGUAGUUUAGGAUUUGAAAUCAAAUUAGUUUAUAUUAGAUUAUUUGAAAUGAACCAAAUAGUGUUUUUUAUAACCGCACAUGCAAACUAUAUGCUCCGUAUGUAAUCUAUGUGGUUGCUAUAUAGUUCACUUUAAAAUGUCCUUAAAUGUCUGCAUAAGGUGGUUUAAGCGUUUGUUUUUUCUAACCAUGCGAUGAAUAACCAAGUCCUUCUGAUACAUUACUACUAUUUUUACUUAUUUUUCUCUUAUUUUGUUAUCUAUCAAUGCUAAAUCUAAUCAAUUGUGGAUAAUAAUAUUUUUACCUAAAAACACAAGUCGUGUCAACUUCUCAUUUUGCUACAUUUGGUUGCCUCUUAUUGCCUAUAAUUGGAUUGGCACGGUCGCGGCAGAUAUAUAUGUUCAUGAGCUCCAAUGUAUUAUUUCUUUUUACAAGACAACCUCAUAUAGGUGGGACAUACAUGGCUUGAGGAUUGCGCAGACCUACAACCUAUUAAAUAUCUGAUUACCAACUGACUUAUGCUUCCAGGAAAAAAAUAAGCCAGCAUCAUUCAGGAUAGGAUCUCCCUUUUCUUUUAGUUUCCUAGCCACCAAUAUCAUCUUAUUUGGUGGUUCUUUACAGAAAUGGAGAUAAGUUCCAUUAUGACAUGUUUUCCUAUGAAUCUGCUAGUAAAAGAUUUGGAUGGCUAAGUGUAGAUUAAUCUGCUAAACUGGAUUACAGUAAGCUUUUGUUUAUAUUGUACAUGCAAAACUUGUCUUUCAAGUAUUGCUUGUUGUUUGCUUUUGUUAGCUUCUCACUAUAUAUCCAUUUUAAAAAAAAAUGCAUGUUAUUCAUAGCCAUUUUGCAGCCUUUGCUCAGUAUUCAGGAUGGGACUGUAGUAGCUGUAACGUAUCAAAUUUUACAUCACCUGACUGGGAUUUUGAUACUUGGAAUAUAAGGGCAGGUUAAAGCUUGUCAAGAUUGAUCAUGAUGCGAAUCCAAAUUUGAUUUAUAACUACAGAAUGUAUGGUCUGUCUGCCACUUGACAAUAUUCAAGGAUGGUGAAGAUGGUCCAGAAAGAAUAGCAACAUAGAAAGGCAUGAUCCUCUGAAAGAAUAUUUGAACAAUAUUUUUGGAGUCCAUAUCUAUAGCCUGAUAUCUUCUAAGCUUGAGGGUGAUCCAAAUUCUGGUUGAGUGUCAGUUUAAUUUCCAAACAAGCCCAGGGAAAUGGUUCAUUCAUGUUGUAGAUGCAUGUUUUCCGGAGAUAUUUAUUCUGUCUUGUACCUUCUUUUUUUGUAUUAUACUCCACUAUCUUUCAGUCACAAACCAUACACGGAAUAAUUGUUCUAAGCAUAAGCUUUCACAGCGUGGAGCUUAAAGAUGAAAUUUUUCCAGUUGAAAAAUAAAACUCCUAUUGCAUAGAAAA
Zingiber officinale is the source of this 3274-nucleotide long non-coding RNA. RefSeq lists it as uncharacterized. Lineage: Eukaryota; Viridiplantae; Streptophyta; Magnoliopsida; Zingiberales; Zingiberaceae. The transcript has 2 exons. The record is from RefSeq and is a predicted model, not a curated record.